UACGGAGGGUGCGAGCGUUAUCCGGAAUUACUGGGUUUAAAGGGUGCGUAGGCGGCCAUGUAAGUCAGGAGUGAAAGUUUGCGGCUCAACCGUAAAAUUGCUUUUGAUACUGCAUGGCUGGAAUCAGGAUGAGGUCAGCGGAAUGUGGCAUGUAGCGGUGAAAUGCAUAGAUAUGCCAUAGAACACCAAUUGCGAAGGCAGCUGGCUAGACCUGUAUUGACGCUGAGGCACGAAAGCCAGGGGAGCAAACGGG
Molecule: ribosomal RNA, 253 nt
Filed under: uncultured bacterium
Lineage: Bacteria
Description: partial 16S ribosomal RNA
Rfam family: Bacterial small subunit ribosomal RNA
Source: RNAcentral